RNAcentral lists this transfer RNA (72 nucleotides) under Rhipicephalus sanguineus (brown dog tick). RNAcentral describes it as "transfer RNA alanine (anticodon UGC)". It matches the Rfam family "tRNA". Rfam says of the family: Transfer RNA (tRNA) molecules are approximately 80 nucleotides in length. Their secondary structure includes four short double-helical elements and three loops (D, anti-codon, and T loops). Lineage: Eukaryota; Metazoa; Arthropoda; Arachnida; Ixodida; Ixodidae. The record is from Rfam by way of RNAcentral.
GGGGGUGUAGCUCAGUGGUAGAGCGCUCGCUUUGCAUGCGAGAACUCCCGGGUUCGAACCCCGGCUCCUCCA